AUGGCUGACGCUAAAAUGCCUGAUGCACAAUCAGGCUAUGAAAAAGGCAGCACAUUGGUCAUGGCAGGCCUAUCAGGGCUGAAUAUGGUUUAUGAAGCGG
This is a regulatory RNA element of 100 nucleotides. It matches the Rfam family "Pyrrolysine insertion sequence mttB". The record is from Rfam.